GAAAGACUAAGGAUUCCUCCGCUACGUCAAUCAACGGAGGGUAAGUCGGAUCCUAAGGAUAAUGCGAAAGCAGAGGCCGAUGGGAAUCAGGUUAAAAUUCCUGAACCACUAAUAGUUUCGAAGCGGGGACGGACUUUAAAGCUUCAUACGAACUGACGGAAUAGUUCGUUGAGAGGAGACUUCGGUUGAAUCGAAUGAGGGGAUAAGGUUCCAAGAAAAGCCGAUAAGUUAUGAUUAAUAGUGACCGUACCGCAAACCGACACAGGUGGGCGGGAUGAGUAUUCUAAGGCGCUUGAGAGAACUCAGGAGAAGGAACUCGGCAAAUUGAUACCGUAACUUCGGGAGAAGGUAUGCCCCAAGUAGGUGAACUCGUACAGAGGGAGCCCAAAGGGGUUGCAAAAAAUCGGUGGCUGCGACUGUUUAAUAAAAACACAGCACUCUGCAAACACGAAAGUGGACGUAUAGGGUGUGACGCCUGCCCGGUGCUGGAAGAUUAAAUGAUGGGGUGCAAGCUCUUGAUUGAAGUCCCAGUAAACGGCGGCCGUAACUAUAACGGUCCUAAGGUAGCGAAAUUCCUUGUCGGGUAAGUUCCGACCUGCACGAAUGGCGUAACGAUGGCCACACUGUCUCCUCCUGAGACUCAGCGAAGUUGAAAUGUUUGUGAUGAUGCAAUCUCCCCGCGGAAAGACGGAAAGACCCCAUGAACCUUUACUGUAGCUUUGUAUUGGACUUUGAACAGAUCUGUGUAGGAUAGGUGGGAGGCUUUGAAGUGAGGUCGCUAGAUCUCAUGGAGCCAACGUUGAAAUACCACCCUGGUGUGUUUGAGGUUCUAACCUAGGUCCAUUAUCUGGAUCGGGGACAGUGCAUGGUAGGCAGUUUGACUGGGGCGGUCUCCUCCCAAAGCGUAACGGAGGAGUUCGAAGGUACGCUAGUUACGGUCGGACAUCGUGACGAUAGUGCAAUGGCAUAAGCGUGCUUAACUGCGAGACUGACAAGUCGAGCAGAUGCGAAAGCAGGACAUAGUGAUCCGGUGGUUCUGUAUGGAAGGGCCAUCGCUCAACGGAUAAAAGGUACUCUGGGGAUAACAGGCUGAUACCGCCCAAGAGUUCAUAUCGACGGCGGUGUUUGGCACCUCGAUGUCGGCUCAUCUCAUCCUGGGGCUGUAGCCGGUCCCAAGGGUAUGGCUGUUCGCCAUUUAAAGAGGUACGUGAGCUGGGUUUAAAACGUCGUGAGACAGUUUGGUCCCUAUCUUCCGUGGGCGCUGCAGAUUUGAGGAAGCCUGCUCCUAGUACGAGAGGACCGGAGUGGACACACCUCUGGUGUAUCGGUUGUCACGCCAGUGGCAUUGCCGAGUAGCUAAGUGUGGAAGAGAUAACCGCUGAAAGCAUCUAAGCGGGAAACUCGUUUCAAGAUGAGAUCUGCCGGGGCCUUGAGCCCCCUAAAGAGUCGUUCAAGACCAGGACGUUGAUAGGUCAGGUGUGGAAGCGCAGUAAUGCGUUAAGCUAACUGAUACUAAUUGCUCGUGCGGCUUGACC
This 1535-nucleotide ribosomal RNA is filed under the name Spumella vulgaris. RNAcentral describes it as "bacterial LSU rRNA". It matches the Rfam family "Bacterial large subunit ribosomal RNA", at positions 1339 to 2925 of the family's 2925-position model. The record is from RNAcentral. Lineage: Eukaryota; Chrysophyceae; Chromulinales; Chromulinaceae.